RNAcentral lists this unclassified non-coding RNA (243 nucleotides) under uncultured Mortierella. RNAcentral's name for it is "partial internal transcribed spacer 2". The record is from RNAcentral. Lineage: Eukaryota; Fungi; Mortierellomycota; Mortierellomycetes; Mortierellales; Mortierellaceae.
AACACCUCAACUCCCUUUCUUCUUGAAAUGGAGCUGGACUUGAGUGAUCCCAACGCUUUAUUCAUAAAGUGGCGGGUUACUUGAAAUGCAGGUGCAGCUGGACUUUUCUCUGAGCUAUAAGCAUAUCUAUUUAGUCUGCCUAAAAAACAGAUUAUUACCUUUGCUGCAGCUAACAUAAAGGAGAUUAGUUCUUGUGCUGACUGAUGCAGGAUUCACAGAGACAGCUUCGGCUGGCCUUUGUAA